UGAUAUACGUACAUCUGUGUGCUGCCAGGAUAUUCUUACACCAAAACAACCUUUUGUAUGUGAAACGGCAAGUGAAAUGAGACAGCGAAAAGCACCUUAUCUAACGGUAUUUAACAACUCCAAAACCACAGGAAAAGACUGUCUUCACAGACAAACUCAUCUAUGAAGAUCCUUCAACAGGAUCCCCACCUUUCGGUCACGUUUCAUGUUGCUGGCGGGCAUGAUGAAGACUUUCCUUCAAUUUGGGCAAUGGAGCUUGAAGUACUCAGAGGACGGCUGUGAGGAAACAUGGAGAAGCGCAUGGUGAUGUUGACGUGAAGAUGUCAAGAUGGAACAGAAUGCAGUUGACAGAUUGUGAGAGCUUGGAGCUUCGGCUGUUUACUUUUCCAGUGCAGCCAACCCCCUUAAGCAAUGGCACUGAAAUAAGAACAGUCUGGCUUGGGAGUAAGUAUAAAUCAUGUUGUUUGUUGUCACAAGCUAUAUGCUCCUGUGACAACUCAAAGUUUGGAUUGAAGAUCUCUGUGGAAAAUCAGUCUAAAGUCUGGGAGCUGCUGAAAUGCAGAAGUGAGGACUUGACCAUAACAUAGUCUUUUAAAAAUCCUAAAGACAGGUUGAAGUCGGAUCAGUUACCGCUCCCUUGGGUGGUAGUUCUCUGUGGAAUGUGCUGGUCUUCUAAGCUGUGACACUGGGAUGCUGGAAUGGGCACUGAGUGAUGAGGACAGGUCCUCAGGCUUUGAUAUCGGUGACGUGCUGAGAACAGCCUGUGGUUUAUGAAGUUUUCUCUCAACCGCACGAUACCCUAUGUGCUUUAGGUCUGUACGGGUGGUGGUAAUAAUGUGAAUACGAGCAAUAUGCCAACCGCUGGACACAGCUGAAUGCAAAGGGAAAGGAGGAUUUUCUGGAGAGCAGUGUCUAGGGCAGAAGACUGAUAUUUGAAAUGCUAAUAGUGGCUAGGAGCCAGCAUACUGUUAAUAGCAAACUGUUUUCUUUGGAGAGCUGUCAUACGGGAGAGUCUUGGCAAGUGACCCACCUCUGCCGUCAGUUCGGGGUCCCCAUCCCCGAGUGCUACAGAAGAGCUCUAGGAGGGAAUAUCUGCGUCUGGGGUACCUUCUCUGCCUGCUCACCACUGUGGCUAAAGUCACCAGCCCCCUCAGUGCAGGUAAGAGUGCUGUUUGCUCUGCGUCUCCUUUGAGUGAGGCUUCUGAUGGAACCAAGGCAGCAGUCUUGCCUGGGCAGAG
Falco peregrinus (peregrine falcon) is the source of this 1238-nucleotide long non-coding RNA. RefSeq lists it as uncharacterized. The transcript has 7 exons. Lineage: Eukaryota; Metazoa; Chordata; Aves; Falconiformes; Falconidae. The record is from RefSeq and is a predicted model, not a curated record.